This is a long non-coding RNA of Zophobas morio, 510 nucleotides long. RefSeq lists it as uncharacterized. The transcript is spliced from 4 exons. NCBI's taxonomy places the organism in Eukaryota, Metazoa, Arthropoda, Insecta, Coleoptera, Tenebrionidae. The record is from RefSeq and is a predicted model, not a curated record.
GUAAUUCAGGUUGCGGCCAUAUGCAUUCUUUUUGUCAAGACGAGAAACAAAAUAAGUUCAAGUUAGAAAAUAUGGCUAGACCACCCUUAAGCCAGGACACCACUUUUAAGUUUGCCUUAAAAAAUCAGAAACGCACUUUUUCAGAUAGAGAAUUGCAAGCUUCCUUUUUUUCCCAAACAAACGAGAAGAAACUGAAAACUUUUCACCCGUUCCUUACUGAUCUGAAAAAUAUGAUGUACGGCUUUGGAGACGUUAAGGAGCCUUUACUCGAAACAAUUGAGGUUUUAGAAGACGCCGCCCUGGAGUUUAUUUAUGAUCUUACUUUACGAGCUAUCAAGAUCGGGAAACCAAAAAACAGAAGUGCACCCAAGUUCACUACUGAUGAUAUUUUGUUUUUAAUAAGAAAAGACCGCAAAAAGUUAACUCGUGCGCAGGAACUCUUAUAUAUGAGUAGAGAAAUCAAAAAGGCCCGCCAAAUGACUGAACAAAAGGAAUAAGACUUUAUCGCUC